Molecule: long non-coding RNA, 1025 nt
Organism: Folsomia candida
Lineage: Eukaryota; Metazoa; Arthropoda; Collembola; Entomobryomorpha; Isotomidae
Exons: 2
Source: RefSeq, a predicted model, not a curated record
CAGAUGUUGGUAGGUAAAUCCUGAAUAGUUUAAAUGGGUAUAAAAUAAAUGACGAAGAGAGGUGAAGAUCAGCAAUAUUACACUGAUUUCCAAUAUUCUUACUUACAUUUAUUGAAUAGUGAGGGAAAAGUAUUCCUGUAAAUUUUUCAGACAAUGUGUAAGGUUCGAAUUUUGAUUUUGGCCUGUUUGACUAUGGCGUUGCUGGCGGUUGUUGCAGACGCCCUAUCGUGCCGAGAUCAAGGAAAUUCUCGAGGGGCCAUCUGCGUCUGGGGAUCUUGCCCUUCUGGCUGGCGAAGGGUUUUCUGGGACUCAGGGUGCCGCUCUGGUCAACGGUGUUGUAUCUAAAGUACAUACACGUCUCUCUUCACAGGGCCUAAUCUGACAAUGAGACACAAACUUUAGUAAAAAAUAAAUCAUUGUAACGUUACAAACAGCUCGCCCCUUGUAAUGCGGGGGAAAAUAGAUACAUUAUCUUGUUACAUGUACCUUUUUACCACUACACACCAAUGGAGGAAAUGGACAAAAUCGUCACAAUAGUUCGACAUAUAUUUGGCGACCUCUUCACAUCAAUGGUGCAGAAUAAGCGAGGAAAAUAAACAAUUUCGACUUUUGUCAAAAACCCGCAUGAAACCUUGAUAUCCAAAUUAUAAUUAUUUCUUCCGGUGGCUUCCGAAAAUAAAAGUUAUCCUGGAAAAUUGGUGUAGCUCGCACUAUGCAUUCGUUUUUAGUAUCCAUAUGUAUGUGUAUGUACAGAUAGAUUAGCAGGAGUAUUACGAAUAUUUUUAUGAGAUCGCAUCGAGAAGAAGCACUAAAUCAGGUUCAAUUAAAUACAUCAGCAAUAGUAAAUUACGCCAAAUAAUUACAUGUUGUAGGUUAAUAUAUGAAGUCUGAUGAUGGUUAGAAAAAAAAUGCAAGUUAAUUAUUAUUUGUAUCUAGUUAUACAUAAAUAUGUACUUGGACAGAUGUAUAGUUAGAUAUUCAACAGUUUAACCUUUCUACAUGACAUUAAAUUAUUUAUCUACGUA